CCUACGGGAGGCAGCAGUGAGGAAUAUUGGUCAAUGGACGCAAGUCUGAACCAGCCAGGCCGCGUGCAGGAAGACGGCGCUAUGAGUUGUAAACUGCUUGUGUACGAGGGGAAACGCAGAUACGCGUAUCUGUCUGAAAGUAUCGUACGAAUAAGGAUCGGCUAACUCCGUGCCAGCAGCCGCGGUAAUACGGAGGAUUCAAGCGUUCUCCGGAGUUAGUGGGUUUAAAGGGUGCGUAGGCGGUCGGAUAAGUUAGAGGUGAAAUCCCGAGGCGAAACUUCGGAAGGGCCUCUGUUACGGUUCGGCUAGAGUGUCGUUGCGGUAGGCGGAAUGUUUGGUGUAGCUGU
Molecule: ribosomal RNA, 347 nt
Filed under: uncultured bacterium
Lineage: Bacteria
Description: partial 16S ribosomal RNA
Rfam family: Bacterial small subunit ribosomal RNA
Source: RNAcentral